Ribosomal RNA from Danio rerio (zebrafish), 115 nucleotides. The record is from Ensembl. Lineage: Eukaryota; Metazoa; Chordata; Actinopteri; Cypriniformes; Danionidae.
UCUGGCAGCUAGCUCUCUGUGACUCUCACAUGGUCGUCCACUGAAGCUAAGCAGGGCUGUGCCCAUUCAAUACCUAGAUGGGAGACCACAUGGGAAAACUAGGAUGCUGCCAGAA